AGUGAACGCUGGCGGUAGGCCUAACACAUGCAAGUCGAACGGCAGCACAGUAAGAGCUUGCUCUUACGGGUGGCGAGUGGCGGACGGGUGAGGAAUACAUCGGAAUCUACUUUUUCGUGGGGGAUAACGGAGGGAAACUUACGCUAAUACCGCAUACGACCUACGGGUGAAAUCAGGGGAUCUUCGGACCUUGCGCGAUUGAAUGAGCCGAUGUCGGAUUAGCUAGUUGGCGGGGUAAAGGCCCACCAAGGCGACGAACCGUAGCUGGUCUGAGAGGAUGAUCCGCCACACUGGAACUGAGACACGGUCCAGACUCCUACGGGAGGCAGCAGUGGGGAAUAUUGGACAAUGGGCGCAAGCCUGAUCCAGCCAUACCGCGUGAGUGAAGAAGGCCUUCGGGUUGUAAAGCCCUUUUGUUGGGAAAGAAAAGCAGCAGGUUAAUACCCCGCUGUUCUGACGGUACCCAAAGAAUAAGCACCGGCUAACUUCGUG
Molecule: ribosomal RNA, 492 nt
Filed under: uncultured bacterium
Lineage: Bacteria
Description: partial 16S ribosomal RNA
Rfam family: Bacterial small subunit ribosomal RNA
Source: RNAcentral